CAAGCUGGCGGCGUGCCUACACAUGCAAGUCGAGCGGGGACAUGCGACGGAGACAAGUUUUCGGAUGGAGUCAAAGAUGCAUUGUUCUAGCGGCGGACGGGUGAGUAACGCGUGAGCAACCUGUCCCUUACAGGGGGAUAACACAGCGAAAGUUGUACUAAUACCGCAUGAGACCACGGGUUCACAUGGACCAGGGGUCAAAGGAAGCAAUUCCGGUAAGGGGUGGGCUCGCGUCCGAUUAGAUAGUUGGUGAGGUAACGGCCCACCAAGUCGACGAUCGGUAGCCGACCUGAGAGGGUGAUCGGCCACAUUGGGACUGAGACACGGCCCAAACUCCUACGGGAGGCAGCAGUGGGGAAUAUUGGGCAAUGGGGGGAACCCUGACCCAGCAACGCCGCGUGAGGGAAGAAGGUUUUCGGAUCGUAAACCUCUGUCCUUGGUGAAGAGUAAGAGACGGUAGCCAAGGAGGAAGCCCCGGCUAACUACGUGCCAGCAGCCGCGGUAAU
Molecule: ribosomal RNA, 506 nt
Filed under: uncultured bacterium
Lineage: Bacteria
Description: bacterial SSU rRNA
Rfam family: Bacterial small subunit ribosomal RNA
Source: RNAcentral